AUUGAACGCUGGCGGCAUGCCUUACACAUGCAAGUCGAACGGUAACAGGUCUUCGGAUGCUGACGAGUGGCGAACGGGUGAGUAAUACAUCGGAACGUGCCUAGUAGUGGGGGAUAACUACUCGAAAGAGUGGCUAAUACCGCAUGAGAUCUACGGAUGAAAGCAGGGGAUCGCAAGACCUUGUGCUACUAGAGCGGCCGAUGGCAGAUUAGGUAGUUGGUGGGAUAAAAGCUUACCAAGCCGACGAUCUGUAGCUGGUCUGAGAGGACGAUCUGCCACACUGGGACUGAGACACGUACCAGACUCCUACGGGAGGCAGCAGUGGGGAAUUUUGGACAAGGGGCGCAAACCUGGUCCAGCAAUGCCGCGUGCAGGAUGAAGGCCUUCGGGUUGUAAACUGCUUUUGUACGGAACGAAAAGCCCUGGGUUAAUACCCUGGGGUCAUGACGGUACCGUAAGAAUAAGCACCGGCUAACUACGUGCCAGCAGCCGCGGUAA
RNAcentral lists this ribosomal RNA (498 nucleotides) under uncultured bacterium. Its description in RNAcentral is "partial 16S ribosomal RNA". It matches the Rfam family "Bacterial small subunit ribosomal RNA", at positions 30 to 523 of the family's 1533-position model. The record is from RNAcentral.